RNAcentral lists this ribosomal RNA (210 nucleotides) under uncultured bacterium. RNAcentral describes it as "partial 16S ribosomal RNA". It matches the Rfam family "Bacterial small subunit ribosomal RNA", at positions 303 to 526 of the family's 1533-position model. The record is from RNAcentral.
CACGGACACACUGGAACUGAAACACGGUCCAGACUCCUACGGGAGGCAGCAGUGGGGAAUUUUGCGCAAUGGGGGAAACGGGACCUGACGCAGCAACGCCGCGUGGAGGAUGAAGCCCCUUGGGGCGUAAACUCCUUUCGACCAAGACGAUAAUGACGGUACUGGUGGAAGAAGCACCGGCUAACUCUGUGCCAGCAGCCGCGGUAAUAA